UACGUAGGGGGCAAGCGUUGUCCGGAAUUAUUGGGCGUAAAGAGCGCGUAGGCGGUCCGAUAAGUCGGCUGUGAAAGUCAGGGGCUCAACCCUUGAAAGCCGGCCGAUACUGUCGGACUAGAGUCCGGAAGAGGCAAGUGGAAUUCCUGGUGUAGCGGUGAAAUGCGCAGAUAUCAGGAGGAACACCGGUGGCGAAGGCGGUUCUCUGGGCAUUACCUGACGCUGAGGAGCGAAAGUGUGGGGAGCGAACAGG
RNAcentral lists this ribosomal RNA (253 nucleotides) under uncultured bacterium. RNAcentral describes it as "partial 16S ribosomal RNA". It matches the Rfam family "Bacterial small subunit ribosomal RNA", at positions 524 to 776 of the family's 1533-position model. The record is from RNAcentral.